AUCGCUUCUCGGCUCUCUGAGCUAAGAUCAUGUGUAGUAUCUGUUCUUUGCAGUGUAAUUUCUGCAACGGUCCCUAAUUUGGGGCCCAUGAAAUUACCUGUAUUUUUCCAACCAGGGUGGGUGCUGUGAGCUUGCUCAACCCCGUCCACGGGUCGGCCUCGUAUUGCAUUACCUCGAGGAUUGGCCCACUAGUG
RNAcentral lists this small nuclear RNA (194 nucleotides) under Echinococcus granulosus. RNAcentral's name for it is "U2 spliceosomal RNA". It matches the Rfam family "U2 spliceosomal RNA". From Rfam's summary of the family: U2 is a small nuclear RNA (snRNA) component of the spliceosome (involved in pre-mRNA splicing). Complementary binding between U2 snRNA (in an area lying towards the 5' end but 3' to hairpin I) and the branchpoint sequence (BPS) of the intron results the bulging out of an unpaired adenosine, on the BPS, which initiates a nucleophilic attack at the intronic 5' splice site, thus starting the first of two transesterification reactions that mediate splicing. The record is from Rfam by way of RNAcentral. Lineage: Eukaryota; Metazoa; Platyhelminthes; Cestoda; Cyclophyllidea; Taeniidae.